GAUCAUUGCUCAGGAUGAACGCUGGCGGCGUGCUUAACACAUGCAAGUCGAACGAAGCACUUAAGAUUGAUUCUUCGGAUGAAGUCUUCUGUGACUGAGUGGCGGACGGGUGAGUAACGCGUGGGUAACCUGCCUCAUACAGGGGGAUAACAGUUAGAAAUGACUGCUAAUACCGCAUAAGCGCACGGGGUCGCAUGACCUAUUGUGAAAAACUCCGGUGGU
Molecule: ribosomal RNA, 222 nt
Filed under: uncultured bacterium
Lineage: Bacteria
Description: partial 16S ribosomal RNA
Rfam family: Bacterial small subunit ribosomal RNA
Source: RNAcentral